Molecule: transfer-messenger RNA, 352 nt
Filed under: Deltaproteobacteria bacterium RIFCSPHIGHO2_12_FULL_43_9
Lineage: Bacteria; Deltaproteobacteria
Rfam family: transfer-messenger RNA
About the family: Bacterial tmRNA, also known as 10Sa RNA or SsrA, is named for its dual tRNA and mRNA-like properties. Its role is to liberate the mRNA from a stalled ribosome.
Source: RNAcentral
GGGGGCGAUCUGGCUUCGACGGAAGUCUUGAAGCUCUGAGCGCAUGUCGAGGUUGCUAUCAGGCCUCGUUAAACCGGUAGCACAAUGAUAACUGGCGAAAGCCAAUAUCAACUUGCCGCUUAAUUAAAAGCGACACGUCCUCUUCGUCUUCGCCUAUGGGGCGAAAAAGGGCGUAAAACAGUAGGCUAGCUAGGGAGGCUGAUAUACCUUACCCGAUGCGAAACUCGCGUAUGUCAGGGUGCUUUGAAUCGUGUUGCUGCGAGUCUUUGCACCAACUAAAACAGCAACUAAACAUGUAGUGUUUGGAGUGGAUCGCUUUCGGACGUGGGUUCGAUUAACCUUAGUCGCCUCA